Molecule: ribosomal RNA, 486 nt
Filed under: uncultured bacterium
Lineage: Bacteria
Description: partial 16S ribosomal RNA
Rfam family: Bacterial small subunit ribosomal RNA
Source: RNAcentral
AUUGAACGCUGGCGGCAUGCCUUACACAUGCAAGUCGAACGGCUGCACGGGUGCUUGCACCUGGUGGCGAGUGGCGAACGGGUGAGUAAUACAUCGGAACAUGUCCUGUAGUGGGGGAUAGCCCGGCGAAAGCCGGAUUAAUACCGCAUACGAUCUACGGAUGAAAGCGGGGGACCUUCGGGCCUCGCGCUAUAGGGUUGGCCGAUGGCUGAUUAGCUAGUUGGUGGGGUAAAGGCCUACCAAGGCGACGAUCAGUAGCUGGUCUGAGAGGACGACCAGCCACACUGGGACUGAGACACGGCCCAGACUCCUACGGGAGGCAGCAGUGGGGAAUUUUGGACAAUGGGCGAAAGCCUGAUCCAGCAAUGCCGCGUGUGUGAAGAAGGCCUUCGGGUUGUAAAGCACUUUUGUCCGGAAAGAAAUCCUUGGCCCUAAUACGGUCGGGGGAUGACGGUACCGGAAGAAUAAGCACCGGCUAACUACGUG